GUGAUCAUGAUUGAUUAAUUAUGCCUGCCGUUGCCGGAAGGGGGAGCUCAGUCUGGCCAAGAUGCCUCAUUCGCAGUGAAGCUGCUGAAAGCGAAGCAUCAUGUCUGAGCUUCAUCAUUGAUUUAUCCCCUUUUCAGGUUCACCCAAUAAUAGUCAACAACGUUUUAUUCACCUGUCCGGAAUGCAAAUUUCUCCCUAAUGAGCAGAGCAUUUUAGGGGAUCGCUGAUCAGCUUCUAGGCCUGACUGAGGACGUCAGUCAUAAGAAGCACAAGGCAUCCUCCAACACACGAGUUCCAGAGUGAUCCUCUAAAUGUUGGCACCUAAUACUUCUAGACUUUAGGUUUCUUGUAGUCAUCACUAUCCACAUCUGACUUCAGAGGAGUCUGCCCUGGUGAUAAGUGUUGACCUAUUUGCAUGAAGCUGCACCACAACCAUGAAGUUGCAUUCCAGGGAGCGGCCGGGUUUAAUUUUGGACUUCUGAUUGAAAACAGAAUGUGAACGGAUGAGGGACAUUGUAUCCUGCCAUGCGAGUUGUAUUUGUCACAGUGUUAUUUCAUGCUCCUGACUGGAAUAAUCUCUAAAAAGUCUUUGAUGUCUCGACUCUGUUUUUUCAUGGACUCUUAUGGUUGGGUGGCUAAAGCCACUCUGCGGAGAAAGUCUCAGUGUAAACACAAUGAAUCACAACCACACACUCAAGUUCUCAAGCACAUCCUGAGAGUCAUUGGGAAAUGCCCUCCCUGGAAAGAGAUAAGGAAUUAAUCUUGUGGCAUUUGCAGCCUGGACUUUCACUCUAAUUCCUUAUAUCGGUAUCACCGUAUUCAUCUGAAUACCACCCAUCACCCACACUUGUAGGUGUGUGUGUUUGUGCAUUCAU
This is a long non-coding RNA of Oreochromis niloticus (Nile tilapia), 875 nucleotides long. RefSeq lists it as uncharacterized. The record is from RefSeq and is a predicted model, not a curated record. The transcript is spliced from 4 exons. NCBI's taxonomy places the organism in Eukaryota, Metazoa, Chordata, Actinopteri, Cichliformes, Cichlidae.